This is an RNA transcript of Rosa rugosa (rugosa rose), 1170 nucleotides long. It is a transcript of the gene named probable indole-3-pyruvate monooxygenase YUCCA10, with no coding region annotated. The record is from RefSeq and is a predicted model, not a curated record. Lineage: Eukaryota; Viridiplantae; Streptophyta; Magnoliopsida; Rosales; Rosaceae. The transcript has 3 exons.
AAGAUAUAUGAUGGAGAUUUCAGUUUCAAUUUUGAUUCAGUAUUGAAAUAAUUGACUUCUUGAUUUUGGUUUGUGAAUGCCAUUGGUGUUGUUAACGUUAGGACUCAGUACACUCCUUAUGAACAUUUAGAUGAUUCUAUGCUUCAGCAAUUGAAUGUUAGUGUAAAGUAAACAUUCUGUGAUUCCUAUUUGUGAGAUUGAAUUAGGUUUAUUUAUCUGAGGAUCGGAGGGUGCAUUAAAUGUAGGCUUAAAAGAUCAUCUGACAAUACAAUACAUUCUAUUGUAUUGUGUGCCAGAUAUUGAAGGGUUGAGUAGUUUUGAUGGGGAUGUUCUUCAGUCGACCAUAUUCAAAUCCGGGGUUGACUUCAAGAACAACAAUGUUUUGGUGGUUGUCUCUGGGAAUUCUGGCAUGGAAAUUGCUUUGGAUCUGGCAAACGAUGGUGCAAAGACUUCAAUCAUUGUUCAAAGCCCGGUAACUUACUGUUGGAGUUGGAGUAGCCAAAUUAUUUGAUGCAAGAUUUGCUUAAAUUUUCCGGAAAGUUUCAGAAAUUCAGAAUUUGAGCAGAUUAGGAGAGAAUUUAUUUCAGCAGAGUCAAGGUUGUUCACUCUUGGGAAUACAUGAUACACCAACAUUACAGGCAAAGGAAAGACUUUUUCUUGAUUGAAAAUGGCAGGUACAUAUUUAACAGUGUCUUUUGGACCAUGAAGUACAUAAUGACACACCAGUAACUUUUUAUUUUCUGAAGUAGAUACGCAAUUUACAACAGUGAAUUAUGGAGCAGUAAUGUAGCUGGAAAAGAAGAAACUAAAUCUACACAAAUAAAAAUGCAACAUUUCUUUUUUUCGGUGUAGCUUACUGAAAUCAUUCAGGUAAAACUUUUGUUUCUUAUCUAAUGUUCAAAUUACGGCAUAUAUUAAAGAGUGCCCCUUAUAUAUUUAAAGUUCAAGACAUCUUUUGUUUCUUCAUGACCAGCUAUAGACUUAUAGCCUCAUAAUAUGAAAGUGAAAAACUUUAGAACAGAAGGAUUGCUGCAUUCGUUUGUUUACAGCAUUUCAUUGCUUAUUCUUCCUGCUGAUAUAUUAGGUUUCUCGGUUUGAUUUGGAGUAACAUAGGACAUUUGUAUCUGCUUUUGGAUAUUAUCACUUAUUUCCUCUCUUUCCCAACCACAU